This 586-nucleotide ribosomal RNA is filed under the name uncultured Bacillus sp. RNAcentral describes it as "bacterial SSU rRNA". It matches the Rfam family "Bacterial small subunit ribosomal RNA", at positions 372 to 937 of the family's 1533-position model. Lineage: Bacteria; Bacillati; Bacillota; Bacilli; Caryophanales; Bacillaceae. The record is from RNAcentral.
UGGACGAAAGUCUGACGGAGCAACGCCGCGUGAGUGAUGAAGGUUUUCGGAUCGUAAAACUCUGUUGUUAGGGAAGAACAAGUUACCGUUCGAAUAGGGCGGUACCUUGACGGUACCUAACCAGAAAGCCACGGCUAACUACGUGCCAGCAGCCGCGGUAAUACGUAGGUGGCAAGCGUUGUCCGGAAUUAUUGGGGCGUAAAGCGCGCGCAGCGGUUUCUUAAGUCUGAUGUGAAAGCCCCCGGCUCAACCGGGGAGGGUCAAUUUGGAAACUUGGGGGAAACUUUGAAAGUGCAGAAAGAGGAGAGUGGAAAUCCACGUGUACCGGUGAAAUGCGUAGAGAUGUGGAGGAAUACCAGUGGCGAAGGGCGACUCUCUGGUCUGUAACUGACGCUGAGGCGCGAAAGCGUGGGGAGCGAACAGGAUUAGAUACCCUGGUAGUCCACGCCGUAAACGAUGAGUGCUAAGUGUUAGAGGGUUUCCGCCCUUUAGUGCUGCAGCAAACGCAUUAAGCACUCCGCCUGGGGAGUACGGUCGCAAGACUGAAACUCAAAGGAAUUGACGGGGGCCCGCACAAGCGGUGGAG